GGGACCUAAGGCGAGGCAGAAAUGCGUAGCCGAUGGACAGCAGGUGGAGAUUCCUGCACUGCCAUAUAUCAGAAAUGUGGGGACGCAUCAGGAAAGUGUGGGCCGGGAAAGGAAAGACCGGUGCAAGCGGAGGAGGGGACACGCAGGCAAAUCCGCAUGUCAACCCAAGGGCGUUAUGCGGAGCGAAGAAUAGUAGCGAAGCACACGGACAGGGUGCCGAGAAAAGCCGCUAUCGUGUAUAUGGUACCCGUACCGUAAACCGACACAGGUGGAUGAGGAGAGAAUCCUAAGGCCGGCGGGAGAAGCAUUGUUAAGGAACUCGGCAAAAUGGCCCCGUAACUUAGGGAUAAGGGGUGCCACAGUGAUGUGGCCGCAGAGAAUAGGCUCAAGCAACUGUUUAGCAAAACACAGGUCUAUGCGAAACCGAGAGGUGAGGUAUAUGGGCUGACGCCUGCCCGGUGCUGGAAGGUUUAGAGGAGAGGUCAGGAAACGAAGCCUUGAAUUGAAGCCCCAGUAAACGGCGGCCAUAACAAUAACGGUCCUAAGGUAGCGAAAUUCCUUGUCGGGUAAGUUCCGACCCGCACGAAAGGCGUAAUGAUUUGAGCGCUGUCUCGACAAUGCACCCGGUGAAAUUGAAGUACCAGUGAAGAUGCUGGUUACCCGCGCCAGGACGGAAAGACCCCAUGGAGCUUUACUCCAGCUUGAUACUGGGAUCCGGUGUCCAAUGUACAGGAUAGGUGGGAGGCUGAGAGCCAUGAACGCAAGUUUAUGGGGAGCCGCUGUUGGGAUACCACCCUUUGGGUACUGGAUUUCUAACCUGCGCCCGUGACCCGGGCGGGGGACAAUGUCUGGCGGGGAGUUUGACUGGGGCGGUCGCCUCCGAAAGGGUAUCGGAGGCGCUCAAAGGUUCACUCAGAAUGGUCGGAAACCAUUCGGAGAGCGCAAAGGCAGAAGUGAGCCUGACUGUGACACCGACGGGCGGAACAGGUACGAAAGUAGGACUUAGUGAUCCGGUGGUAUAAAGUGGGAUUGCCAUCGCUCAACGGAUAAAAGCUACCCUGGGAUAACAGGCUGAUCACUCCCAAGAGUUCACAUCGACGGAGUGGUUUGGCACCUCGAUGUCGGCUCAUCGCAUCCUGGGGCUGUAGCAGGUCCCAAGGGUUGGGCUGUUCGCCCAUUAAAGCGGUACGCGAGCUGGGUUCAGAACGUCGUGAGACAGUUCGGUCCCUAUCCGGCGCGGGCGGAGGAUAUCAGAGAGGAGCUGUCCUUAGUACGAGAGGACCGGGAUGGACGGACCGCUGGUGCAUCUGUUGGAUACCAGAUCCAUGGCAGAGUAGCCAAGUCCGGCAGGGAUAAACGCUGAAGGCAUCUAAGCGUGAAGCCCCCCUCAGGAUGAGAUAUCCCAUUCUUAGAGAAUGUAAGACCCCUUAGAGACUAUGAGGUAGAUAGGGCAUGGGUGUAAGUGCAGAGAUGCACUGAGCUGAAUGUCACUAAUAGGCCGAGGGCUUAUC
This 1511-nucleotide ribosomal RNA is filed under the name metagenome. Its description in RNAcentral is "bacterial LSU rRNA". It matches the Rfam family "Bacterial large subunit ribosomal RNA", at positions 1386 to 2925 of the family's 2925-position model. The record is from RNAcentral.